Molecule: RNase P RNA, 419 nt
Filed under: Clostridiales bacterium
Lineage: Bacteria; Bacillati; Bacillota; Clostridia; Eubacteriales
Description: RNase P RNA component class A
Rfam family: Bacterial RNase P class A
About the family: Ribonuclease P (RNase P) is a ubiquitous endoribonuclease, found in archaea, bacteria and eukarya as well as chloroplasts and mitochondria. Its best characterised activity is the generation of mature 5'-ends of tRNAs by cleaving the 5'-leader elements of precursor-tRNAs. Cellular RNase Ps are ribonucleoproteins.
Source: RNAcentral
UGAGUAAGCCAGACAAUCGCGGGGAUGCUUAGAUAUCCACGAGGAAAGUCCGAGCUCCAUAGGGCAAGGGUGCCAGAUAACGUCUGGUGAAGGUGACUUUAAGGAAAGUGCAACAGAAACAUACCGCCCACCAGCUAGUAUCCUGUAACUCUUAAAUGUUUUUAGGGGUUAGAGGGUACUAGCUGAGGCAAGGUUGAAAUGGUGAGGUAAGAGCUCACCGGCAGCAUGGUAACAUACUGGCCGUGUAAACCCCACCCGGAGCAAGACCAAGUAGGGAGGCAAUUGUUCUUCGGAGCAAGAGCCUGAAAGGCGGCUGCCCGUCGCUUCCCGGAUGGUAGGUCGCUAGAGCGCACUGGUAACAGUGAGCGUAGAUAGAUGAUUGUCUAAUACAGAACUCGGCUUAUAGACUUGCUCAUGCC